ACGGGAGGCAGCAGUGGGGAAUAUUGGGCAAUGGGGGAAACCCUGACCCAGCGACGCCGCGUGAGGGAAGACGGUCUUCGGAUUGUAAACCUCUGUCUUUCGGGACGAUAAUGACGGUACCGAAGGAGGAAGCCACGGCUAACUACGUGCCAGCAGCCGCGGUAAUACGUAGGUGGCAAGCGUUGUCCGGAAUUACUGGGUGUAAAGGGAGCGUAGGCGGGGGAGCAAGUUGAAUGUGAAAUCUAUGGGCUUAACCCAUAAAUUGCGUUCAAAACUGUUCUUCUUGAGUGAAGUAGAGGCAAGCGGAAUUCCUAGUGUAGCGGUGGAAUGCGUAGAUAUUAGGAGGAACACCAGUGGCGAAGGCGGCUUGCUGGGCUUUUACUGACGCUGAGGCUCGAAAGCGUGGGGAGCAAACAGGAUUAGAUACCCUGGUA
RNAcentral lists this ribosomal RNA (434 nucleotides) under uncultured Oscillospiraceae bacterium. Its description in RNAcentral is "partial 16S ribosomal RNA". It matches the Rfam family "Bacterial small subunit ribosomal RNA", at positions 341 to 792 of the family's 1533-position model. Lineage: Bacteria; Bacillati; Bacillota; Clostridia; Eubacteriales; Oscillospiraceae. The record is from RNAcentral.